RNAcentral lists this ribosomal RNA (245 nucleotides) under uncultured bacterium. RNAcentral's name for it is "partial 16S ribosomal RNA". It matches the Rfam family "Bacterial small subunit ribosomal RNA", at positions 528 to 772 of the family's 1533-position model. The record is from RNAcentral.
GAGGGUGCAAGCGUUAAUCGGUAUCACUGGGCGUAAAGCGCACGUAGGCUGUCGUGUAAGUCAGGGGUGAAAGCCCACGGCUCAACCGUGGAAUUGCCCUUGAUACUGCAUGACUGGAAUCCGGGAGAGGGUGGCGGAAUUCCAGGUGUAGGAGUGAAAUCCGUAGAUAUCUGGAGGAACAUCAGUGGCGAAGGCGGCCACCUGGACCGGUAUUGACGCUGAGGUGCGAAAGCGUGGGGAGCAAA